Non-coding RNA from Cricetulus griseus (Chinese hamster), 256 nucleotides. The record is from RefSeq and is a predicted model, not a curated record. Lineage: Eukaryota; Metazoa; Chordata; Mammalia; Rodentia; Cricetidae.
GUCCCGCCCCCUUCUCCACCGGCCUGACACUGGGGAUGCUAAUAACUCGGAAGCGUCAGGCUCGGCGUAGGGUCGAAUUCUCAGGGUCUGUACGCAAGUCGAUGUGUUAGGGGUCACGGGUCAUGAGUGGUACUCGACUGAUUGAUUCUAUGAUUUGCAUGUAGUCCACGGAAUUGGAAUUAUCAGACUUGAAGAGCCCUGCCCUACCGUAACCCACUGGUAAAGGCCACCAUAAACAUGAAAGAAACCGCGCUAA